AACCGCCACCGUCUCAGCCUGAAGGCGCCCGAUCUCGUCUGAUCUCGGAAGCUAAGCAGGGUCGGGCCUGGUUAGGAUCUUGGAUGGGAGACCACCUGGGAAUCCCGGGUGCUCGAGGCUU
Bison bison bison is the source of this 121-nucleotide ribosomal RNA. Lineage: Eukaryota; Metazoa; Chordata; Mammalia; Artiodactyla; Bovidae. The record is from Ensembl.